RNAcentral lists this small RNA (338 nucleotides) under Marinobacter subterrani. RNAcentral's name for it is "Long range pseudoknot". The record is from RNAcentral. Lineage: Bacteria; Pseudomonadati; Pseudomonadota; Gammaproteobacteria; Pseudomonadales; Marinobacteraceae.
ACUGAAGAAGGGGAUUAUCAGGUCAAACUACGCAACCUGGUACGUUUCCUUGAAAACGGGGACCGCGGCAAAAUCACGAUCCGCUUCCGAGGCCGUGAGAUGGCACACCAGGAAAUUGGUAUGCAACUCAUGCAGCGCAUCGAAGCAGACAUUGAUGAGCUAGCCCAGGUAGAGAUGCGGCCGAAAAUGGAAGGCCGGCAGAUGACCAUGGUUGUGGCGCCCCGCAAGAAGAAGUAAACCUGAUCGGGUGCUUGUCCCCCGCGCAUGCGGGGGAUUUGUCGUUCAGGGAUACAUUAUUGUUUAUCCAAAAUAGAAUGCGGAGUUUUAAAAAAUGCCCA